AAAGUCGCCCACCGAAAUCCUGUGUGAUUCCAGGCUGGUUUCCUACCCCCUCUGAAUACUGCAUGCUCAUUUGUAAAAAUGAGGCCCUCUUUGCAGGGUGGGUGUGAGGAGUAAAUGAGAGUAAGCACUUAAGGCCCCAUGCCCAGCUCUCAACCCCAUGUCCGUUUCCUCUCCUGCCUCCAGGAAAGGCUCUCUCUUCUUUGCCAAGUCCCCCCCUCCAGCCUGUGCAUCACGUCAUGUCUUUAGUUUUCUUCUUCCUUCCCAGCGCACCCCACCCUCUGUCAGUAUCACAGCUACUGGCACUCGCAGCCAGGACAGAGAAGGAAGGGGCGAAGCCUUCAUUCAUUUUACAAUCUUUGAGCAGCCGCAGUUAACAUUUGGGAAGAAGCUGCAAUUACCAGCUCCUUGAGGAAUUCACUAGCCCUGGGAGGGGCAGUGCCUGCAGUGUCAGCAGGGCCCUAGAUGUGACAGCAUUGGAACAAAGACAAUAAAGGACACGGUUGACACAAAGACAACUCACAGUGGACUCCACGGGAGGGAAAUUUGCCUUUGUUAUGUUAAGCCACGGAGAUCGGGAGCUGGUUUACCACGGCAGUGCACUAGUGUGGGAACACAAGGAGAAGCAUGGCCACGUGGAUGGAGAGCUGAGCCUCAGCAUCAGUGUGGCGUCUGUGAGGUUCAUUCAUUCAUUUAUUCACUCAUUCGUUCCUUCAUAUAUCAACCAAUGGUUGUUGCACACCAGCUGUGUGUCAGGCCCAGCGCUGGGUGUGGACUCCCAGAGGUCAAACACUAGCCCUGCCCUCAUGGAGCACACAGUCGUCUGAGAAAGUGACGUGUCAAAGGAUAUGAUGAUAGAGAGUGAAGACUGCCAUGCAGAGGCUGGGUCUGCAGUGGGUAAACAGAGGAGGCGGUGAUGACUGGGGCAGAGGAAUCAGGGAGGGCUUCUCAGAGGAAGUGACAUUUGAGUGUGGUCUUGAUGGAGCUGUGGAAGAGUUCCCGCGCAGAGACAAUGGGAGUGGAUGUUCUGGGUAGUCUAGGAAGAGCAGAGAUGAAGGCACAUCUGGGCUUUGCCAAGAGUUCAGUCAGGCAAAAAAAAAUCCGAUUGAAAAAAUGGGCAAAGG
Molecule: long non-coding RNA, 1121 nt
Filed under: Equus caballus (horse)
Lineage: Eukaryota; Metazoa; Chordata; Mammalia; Perissodactyla; Equidae
Description: lncRNA (ENSECAG00000033639.3)
Source: RNAcentral